UGAAUACAAUGCUUUACGUGGUUCGGUGGUAACACCUGCAUCCACGGCAGACAACUGAAUUCUAUUGAUGAUUUGGGACAAGUACUAUACAAGAGUGAGCUUCGAGCUCCACACGCUUAACUCACAUAUUGCACUUUCUGAAUUCUAUUUUUCACUCUCUAUCUUCGUAUGUGAAAACUCUCUAACCGAAAAAUUAGUAGAAAUCUAAGACAUUUAUACUUCUCUACAAUCACAAUUAAUCAUACAAAUGAGUGGCUCAGACUAGCUCUAUAAUAACUAAUCAAAGAAUGAUUAUAGACCAUACUGCAGCUGAUCACUCCCCAUGCAUGCAGCUUGUGUGAAGUAGUUAGAUGAAAGCAUAUCUCACAAUAUAUAUAUAUAUAUAUAUAG
Molecule: long non-coding RNA, 390 nt
Filed under: Salvia miltiorrhiza (redroot sage)
Lineage: Eukaryota; Viridiplantae; Streptophyta; Magnoliopsida; Lamiales; Lamiaceae
Description: long non-coding RNA (SMIL_LNC010078)
Source: RNAcentral